AUCACGGCUUCGUCAGAUGCGCCGCAUUUUCGCCCCGAACGCGCCCAGCCAUGGCCGUGUUGCCCCGCUCAACUCCUGAUCGUUGCCUCGACGGCCCGGCUUUGCUGGUCUCCGGAUUUGUCAGCCCCCCAGCCCCCCGGAGUCUUGGCGGGCCGGGCCAAUCGAUGUCGAGGCUACCUUACGGCCGGCGCCCGCGCUGGCCGUUUU
RNAcentral lists this small RNA (207 nucleotides) under Allobosea sp. PAMC 26642. RNAcentral's name for it is "Bosea sp. PAMC 26642 Bradyrhizobiaceae sRNA BjrC174". It matches the Rfam family "Bradyrhizobiaceae sRNA BjrC174". The record is from Rfam by way of RNAcentral. Lineage: Bacteria; Pseudomonadati; Pseudomonadota; Alphaproteobacteria; Hyphomicrobiales; Alloboseaceae.